AGAGUUUGAUCCUGGCUCAGGACGAACGCUGGCGGCGUGCCUAAUGCAUGCAAGUCGUACGCACCGGGCUUGCCCGGUGAGUGGCGCACGGCUGAGGAACACGUGGGCACCUGCCCGUCCGUGGGGGAUAACCGGCCGAAAGGCCCGCUAAUCCCGCAUACCCUCCCGCUCCGGCGGGCGGAAAGCCGCAAGGCGCGGACGGAGGGGCCUGCGGCCCAUCAGGUGGUUGGUGUGGUAACGGCGCACCAAGCCGGUGACGGGUAGCUGGUCUGUGAGGACAACCAGCCAGACUGGGACUGAGAGACGGCCCAGACUCCUACGGGAGGCAGCAGCAAGGAAUUUUCCCCAAUGGGCUCACGCCUGAGGGAGCAACGCCGCGUGCGGGACGACGGCCUUCGGGUUGUAAACCGCUUUUGGUGUGGACGAUGAUGACGUACCCGCCG
Molecule: ribosomal RNA, 443 nt
Filed under: uncultured Chloroflexaceae bacterium
Lineage: Bacteria; Bacillati; Chloroflexota; Chloroflexia; Chloroflexales; Chloroflexaceae
Description: bacterial SSU rRNA
Rfam family: Bacterial small subunit ribosomal RNA
Source: RNAcentral